GGACUACAGGGGUAUCUAAUCCUGUUUGCUACCCACGCUUUCGUGCCUCAGCGUCAGAACAGGCCCAGGAGGUUGCCUUCGCCAUCGGUGUUCUUCCAGAUAUCUACGCAUUUCACCGCUACACCUGGAGUUCCGCCUCCCUCUACCGUUCUCGAGUUUGACAGUAUCGACUGCAAUUCCCAGGUUAAGCCCGGGGCUUUCACAAUCGACUUAUCAAACCGCCUACGCACGCUUUACGCCCAGUAAAUCCGAUUAACGCUAGCACCCUCUGUAUUACCGCGGCUGCUGGCAC
RNAcentral lists this ribosomal RNA (292 nucleotides) under uncultured bacterium. RNAcentral's name for it is "partial 16S ribosomal RNA". The record is from RNAcentral.